GAGCUCCGCCUCCUUUUAAAGUUUCCAAAUUGCAAAAAACGAAUUUGCGUUGUUUGAAACAGACCAAACAUUUCCUAAUUCAUUUUUAUUCCAACUCUCAGUAGCAACAGAUCAGGAACUUGAUGUGAGACUCACACAAAUAUGGCGAAAAGAGAUAACUUGACUGACAAAAUAUGGAAUGACUGUAGCCAUCUUCCCCCUGUGUUAUCUUUAGCGAAAAUUUUUCUGUUUCUGUAUUUGAUGGCUCAGGGCAAUUGUCAUUUGCUAUCUUCCAAUAUUAACUUGGAGCUUCUUGCUACGCACACUGCCUCCAAGAUGGAGUUGUAUUUAUCCAAAUACAUCGGAAAUAUGAAGGAAAAAAAACCUCUCCUGCAAAGGUA
This is a long non-coding RNA of Daphnia pulicaria, 380 nucleotides long. RefSeq lists it as uncharacterized. The record is from RefSeq and is a predicted model, not a curated record. The transcript is spliced from 2 exons. NCBI's taxonomy places the organism in Eukaryota, Metazoa, Arthropoda, Branchiopoda, Diplostraca, Daphniidae.